CAGGUGGAGAAAUGGCUUGAUUCCUAUGAAUUAUUAAUCUUGGAGAAGAAAAGCUUGAUUCAAAGAAGAAUUUGAAAAAAAAGAAGAAGAAAACAACUGCCAGGGAGCCCAGCAAAGAAAGAAGAAAACCGAGGUCUGCCCACACCCUACGGAGGUCCCGAGUUGCGUGGAACAUGCCUAAUCAGCCCGCUGCAGACAGGCAGGUCUGUGAACGCCCUACCGAGGUCCUGAGUCGUGUGGAAGACACCGAAUCACCCUGCUGCAGACAGGCAGCCACCUAGUUCCACACUAGAAAGACGCAGAGGACACCAGACCACCAGACCACAGUACUGAGUCCUGCUGCUCCUGGCCCAGAGAAAUAGAACUUCAGAGACAGAAGGGAUCUUAGAGAAUGAAGAAACAAGGAGUCAUGCCUGUCUCAAAGGAGUGAUUUCACAAGGCAGUAAGAAAUGACCACAGGUUAUAGCUUGUGUUACUACACACUGAUGAUGCCUUUGAGGCUAUCCACUGAUGUCCUCACCCACGGC
Molecule: long non-coding RNA, 527 nt
Organism: Heterocephalus glaber (naked mole-rat)
Lineage: Eukaryota; Metazoa; Chordata; Mammalia; Rodentia; Bathyergidae
Source: Ensembl